RNAcentral lists this unclassified non-coding RNA (438 nucleotides) under Hevea brasiliensis (rubber tree). The record is from RNAcentral. Lineage: Eukaryota; Viridiplantae; Streptophyta; Magnoliopsida; Malpighiales; Euphorbiaceae.
GAAAAAGUUUCAGAAAAGCUACUUCGAUGUGUUAGGGCUUUGCUGCUCUUCAGAAGUUCGUUUGAUUGAGAAUAUCCUCAAUUCUCUUGAUGGUGUUAAAGAGUUCUCAGUCAUUGUCCCAACAAGAACAGUGGUGGUUCUCCAUGAUGAUCUCCUCAUUUCUCAGCUUCAAAUUGUUAAGGCCCUGAACCAAGCAAGGCUAGAAGCAAAUGUUAGAGUAAAUGGAGACACAAGCUACCAGAAGAAAUGGCCAAAUCCAUUUGCUGUGGCUAGUGGAGUAUUGCUUUUGGUGUCUUUGUUGAAGUAUGUGUAUUAUCCUCUUCAUUGGGUGGCUCUGGGAGCUGUGGCCGUUGGAAUCCCUCUAAUCUUGUUGAAAGCCAUUGCAUCCAUCAGGAAUUUUAGGUUUGAUACAAACAUUCUUGUUCUCAUUGCAGUGAU